ACGGCUCAGUAACACGUGGAUAACCUGCCCUAUGCUCUGGGAUAACCUUGGGAAACUGAGAAUAAUACCGGAUAGAUCACAACGCCUGGAACGGUGUGUGGUUGAAAGGUUACGGCAUAGGAUGGGUCUGCGGCGUAUCAGGUCGUAGGGGGUGUAAUGGACCUCCUAGCCAUCGACGCGUACGGGUUGUGAGAGCAAUAGCCCGGAGAUGGAUUCUGAGACACGAAUCCAGACCCCACGGGGUGCAGCAGGCGCGAAAACUUCACACUGCAGGAAACUGCGAUGAGGGAACUCCAAGUGACUACACAUUUGUGUAGCUCUUUUCUUAACUAUUAAUCGGUUUUGGAAUAAGGGCUGGGAAAGACCGGUGCCAGCCGCCGCGGUAAUACCGGCAGCUCGAGUGGUCGUCGCUUUUAUUGGGCCUAAAACGUCCGUAGCCGGUUUGGUAAAUCUGUGGGUAAAUCAACUAGCUUAACUAGUUGAAUUCUGCAGAGACUGCCAGACUAGGAACCGGGAGAGGUGUGGGGUACUCAAGGGGUAGGGGUAAAAUCCUGUCAUCCUUUGAGGACCACCAGUUGCGAAGGCGCCACACUAGAACGGAUUCGACGGUCAGGGACGAAGCCUAGGGGCACGAACCGGAUUAGAUACCCGGGUAGUCCUAGGUGUAAACGCUGUGAACUUGGUGUCGGGAGUCCGCAAUGGGCCCCCGGUGCCGGAGUGAAGAUGUUAAGUUCACUGCCUGGGGAGUACGGUCGCAAGGCUGAAACUUAAAGGAAUUGGCGGGGGAGCAC
RNAcentral lists this ribosomal RNA (791 nucleotides) under uncultured euryarchaeote. Its description in RNAcentral is "bacterial SSU rRNA". It matches the Rfam family "Archaeal small subunit ribosomal RNA", at positions 85 to 879 of the family's 1478-position model. The record is from RNAcentral. Lineage: Archaea; Methanobacteriati; Methanobacteriota.